ACGCAGCGAAAUGCGAUACCUAGUGUGAAUUGCAGAAUUCCGUGAAUCAUCGAGUUUUUGAACGCAAGUUGCGCCCGAGGCUCGUCCGAGGGCAUGCCUGCCUGAGCGUCCCC
RNAcentral lists this ribosomal RNA (113 nucleotides) under Cololejeunea stylosa. RNAcentral describes it as "5.8S ribosomal RNA". It matches the Rfam family "5.8S ribosomal RNA", at positions 43 to 154 of the family's 154-position model. Rfam says of the family: 5.8S ribosomal RNA (5.8S rRNA) is a component of the large subunit of the eukaryotic ribosome. It is transcribed by RNA polymerase I as part of the 45S precursor that also contains 18S and 28S rRNA. The record is from RNAcentral. Lineage: Eukaryota; Viridiplantae; Streptophyta; Jungermanniopsida; Porellales; Lejeuneaceae.